This 455-nucleotide ribosomal RNA is filed under the name uncultured bacterium. RNAcentral's name for it is "bacterial SSU rRNA". It matches the Rfam family "Bacterial small subunit ribosomal RNA", at positions 341 to 789 of the family's 1533-position model. The record is from RNAcentral.
ACGGAAGGCAGCAGUGGGGAAUAUUGCACAAUGGGCGCAAGCCUGAUGCAGCCAUGCCGCGUGUAUGAAGAAGGCCUUCGGGUUGUAAAGUACUUUCAGUCGUGAGGAAGGUGUUAAGGUUAAUAACCUUAGCAAUUGACGUUAGCGACAGAAGAAGCACCGGCUAACUCCGUGCCAGCAGCCGCGGUAAUACGGAGGGUGCGAGCGUUAAUCGGAAUUACUGGGCGUAAAGGGCACGCAGGCGGUUAAUUAAGUUGGAUGUGAAAUCCCCGGGCUUAACCUGGGAAUGGCAUUCAAGACUGGUUAGCUAGAGUCUUGUAGAGGGGGUAGAAUUCCAUGUGUAGCGGUGAAAUGCGUAGAGAUGUGGAGGAAUACCGGUGGCGAAGGCGGCCCCUGGACAAAGACUGACGCUCAUGUGCGAAAGCGUGGGGAGCAAACAGGGAUUAGAUACCCGU